This 173-nucleotide ribosomal RNA is filed under the name uncultured bacterium. RNAcentral describes it as "partial 16S ribosomal RNA". It matches the Rfam family "Bacterial small subunit ribosomal RNA", at positions 355 to 524 of the family's 1533-position model. The record is from RNAcentral.
CGGCGGGUGUUGGAAUGGGCGCAGCCUGAUCCAGCCUGCCGCGAGUGUGAAGAAGGCCUUCGGGUUGUAAAGCACUUUUAUCAGGAACGAAAUACUGCGGGUUAAUACCCUGCGGGGCUGACGGUACCUGAGGAAUAACCACCGGAAAACUUCGUGCCAGCAGCCGCGGUAAU